Molecule: long non-coding RNA, 852 nt
Organism: Poecilia latipinna (sailfin molly)
Lineage: Eukaryota; Metazoa; Chordata; Actinopteri; Cyprinodontiformes; Poeciliidae
Exons: 3
Source: RefSeq, a predicted model, not a curated record
UUGUUUUGCUCUGAUUUAAAUAGAAACAGAUUUUUUCAUAAACCUGUCGUCCUGGUCCGGAGGGUCCAGUUUGGCUUUGGGCUUCUGCAGAAACGAAACUAUCCUGUUUACUGAAGAAAACCACUCAAUUCAAAUGUAGUAAAAAUCUGAGGUAAACCGUAUUUAUUAGCACUUCAGACGGUUUUAAUGCCGGUGAUCGCGUCCCUGCAGGCUGCAGAUCAUGAGUCACGCCUGUAAUCUGUUUGUGUUGCUGCUGCUUCCUAGCAACACAACAAUUAGCGAAUCCCUCGGAUUUCCCAGCCUGCAGCUGAGAAACGCUCCACAACGUCACGUUUAGUCCAACCAGGACUGGACGAAUCUGACAAGGAUUUUGAUUUAUUGCAGCUGCUGCCGUUAAACUUUACAUCAAUAUAUCGUCUCUGUCGCCGUGUUGCUUCUUGAAAGGAUGGAAACGUUUUCACGCUGCAGCAGGAAGAGGAUCCCAUCCUGACCUCUGAGAUGUGAUCACUGGCGGGCCUGCAGAAUGAAGACCGGAGCAGAACCUGUCUGACGACAUGAAGUAGGAAAAGCAGCACAUCCUCUGUUUUCUCUGAGAGCGGUGACCUCUAGAGCGAGGAGCGUUGGCGUGGUGAGGAAUGUCUGCCGGAACCCUGGGGCCUGGAAGGCCGACCCUGCAUGUACUGGCUUCCCUCACACACACACACACACACACACACACAGCUGCAUAUUUUUACUGCAGCUUUGCAUUAAUAGCGUCAUUAUUUAAUGGCAGCAGUCAUAAUCAUUCAUGAAGAAUAUUUCAUGUUCAUGUGAGUCUCAUGUUAACCCUUCAAAUAAAGUUACCAAAUAUUG